AUUGAACGCUGGCGGCAUGCCUUACACAUGCAAGUCGAACGGUAACGGGCCUUCGGGUGCCGACGAGUGGCGAACGGGUGAGUAAUACAUCGGAACGUGCCCGAUCGUGGGGGAUAACGAGGCGAAAGCUUUGCUAAUACCGCAUACGAUCUACGGAUGAAAGCAGGGGACCGCAAGGCCUUGCGCGGACGGAGCGGCCGAUGGCAGAUUAGGUAGUUGGUGGGAUAAAAGCUUACCAAGCCGACGAUCUGUAGCUGGUCUGAGAGGAUGAUCAGCCACACUGGGACUGAGACACGGCCCAGACUCCUACGGGAGGCAGCAGUGGGGAAUUUUGGACAAUGGGCGCAAGCCUGAUCCAGCCAUGCCGCGUGCAGGAUGAAGGCCUUCGGGUCGUAAACUGCUUUUGUACGGAACGAAAAGCCUUCUUUUAAUACAGGAGGGUCAUGACGGUACCGUAAGAAUAAGCACCGGCUAACUACGUG
This 482-nucleotide ribosomal RNA is filed under the name uncultured bacterium. RNAcentral's name for it is "partial 16S ribosomal RNA". It matches the Rfam family "Bacterial small subunit ribosomal RNA", at positions 30 to 507 of the family's 1533-position model. The record is from RNAcentral.